This is a long non-coding RNA of Canis lupus familiaris (dog), 1813 nucleotides long. RefSeq lists it as uncharacterized. The record is from RefSeq and is a predicted model, not a curated record. The transcript is spliced from 3 exons. Lineage: Eukaryota; Metazoa; Chordata; Mammalia; Carnivora; Canidae.
CAAGACCAAAUAAGGUAAGACUUGGUCAUGUUAGAAUUUCCUUCUAUAUUUAUUUGACAUAUUUUUGAAAGGAUCAGUUAAUUUCCUGAUGGAUAGCUCCCUCUUCUGUCUGGUUUCUAGAAUUCACGUCUCCUGAAACCACAGAUGGAAGAUGCACCAUGUACCACAGAAUUCUGUAGCUUUGCUGAAGAUGGAGAUGCAUCAGCCGGCCGUUUAGAAAGAAGAUCUAUAGUUCGGUAGCAGUAAGGCAUUAGAGGACCACUGCUUAAAGGGGUCAUCUGUGCCUUAAAGUUAUUUUAUUUUUAAAAAUGGAGAACUGAACCGUAGAGAACUUCACAGAGGGCUCCAGUGACCUGGCCAGUGUCACACCACACAGAAGUAUCAGAGGAAGGUGAAGGCAACGCUGGCAUAUUGAUACAUGGCUCUGAUCAACACCUCAUUCUGCUCCCCAUAAAAUGCCGUUGUCAGGAAAAGAAGAACAUACGCUUCCCUCACUCUCUCUAGUUAUUUAGACUCCUGAAGGGUUGUGCACCUGCAACAUUUCAGGACUUUAUUCUUCUGGUUCCAUUUCAAGCCCAGCCAGAGAGACAACAGUGGACAUUGGUAAAGAACUCGGCCACUGGAGUCGCACAGUCCUGGGUUAGGUCUGCUCUGCACCCACCAGUUUUAUGACCUUGGGCAAGACACUUAAUGUCUCCAAUCCUCGGUUUCCUUAUCUGUAAAGCGGGGAAAAUUGUAUCUACUUGAUUUUGUUGUCAGGGUUAAAAUAGGUGAUAAUCUCUCUAAAGCACACAGCAUGGAGCUGGACACAUUGAUGCCUAGAAACGUUGGCUGCAGUGAUUGUCACCAGCUCACCAUUCCAGAGUGUGAAAUGAGUGCUUCUUCAUAUCUCACUUGGCUCAUUUGUGCCUCGUGAUAUUCAACAUGCUCACAGACAUCUCCAGCCAUUUUUAUCUACUUUUUUUCUUUCUACAGUUUCAGCUGUUGCUAACAUUAUGCACAGUGGAAAGAAAGCAAAGCUUCUUAGCUUUGUCUUUUUACCAUGUAUUUCUUCUAUCUUCUCUGCCCUUCUUUAGAGAUGCUCUGGCAUGGAAGGGUGCUCAUGCUCACUUCUGGGCCUUUUGCCCAGUUAAACCCCCAGACCCUCUUUCCUCCUUUUCAAGCAAUUAGAAUUCAUCCUUAGAUGUCUUUCAUCUAGAGGAUGUAGUUCCCUUGUCUGUAGGUUGGAUCUAGCCUCAGACUUCUUUCCUUUGGCCAGCACAGUGCUUACUUUUUUUUUUUUUUUUUAAAGCAUUAGUUACUAAGUUCUAGCAGUAGGGAAAUUUCAUAUAAAAGCCAAGAAAUGGUAUGUGUCCUGGGGCCCCCUCUUCCUAGCGGCCAUCAGCAGAUGCAUAGCCGCAGUCCUCUUCAGACAGCUCGGUGCUGCUUAAGUUUGCCAGAGUGUCUACCAUUCUCUGGUCCGCCUUGUUAUUUGCCUUCCUCUUGAUGCCAGAGUCUCUUGCUUUUGUAACUGAACAAAUUUAAAUCCUCAACAGGUAGUAAUGGGUGGACUGGCUUCAUGAAAUACAUGACUUUCCAAUGUUUUCCAUGUAUUCAACAUCAAUACCUAUGAACUACCUUUUUCAUGCUGAAUUAAGAUGAUGAACAAACAUUUCAAGCUGAUGUGCAGGGGUCUUACCUGCCAGAUGAGACUUGGGAAUAUCAGUGUCUCUACCCACAUCAGUAUUUGAGGGGUUAUAUGAAUAUUUGUGUGACUCUUACUUCUUCUAUAAAAAAUGUUAUAAAAAUUGGGGCUCCUGAGUGGCUCAGUUAA